GUACACUCCUGCGGGAGACAGCAGUGGGGAAUAUUGGACAAUGGGCGCAAGCCUGACCCAGCCAUGCCGCGUGAGUGAUGAAGGCCCUAGGGUUGUAAAGCUCUUUCACCGGUGAAGAUAAUGACGGUAACCGGAGAAGAAGCCCCGGCUAACUUCGUGCCAGCAGCCGCGGUAAUACGAAGGGGGCUAGCGUUGUUCGGAUUUACUGGGCGUAAAGCGCACGUAGGCGGACUAUUAAGUCAGGGGUGAAAUCCCGGGGCUCAACCCCGGAACUGCCUUUGAUACUGGUAGUCUUGAGUUCGAGAGAGGUGAGUGGAAUUCCGAGUGUAGAGGUGAAAUUCAUAGAUAUUCGGAGGAACACCAGUGGCGAAGGCGGCUCACUGGCUCGAUACUGACGCUGAGGUGCGAAAGCGUGGGGAGCAAACAGGAUUAGAUACCCCUGUAGUCCCAUG
This 452-nucleotide ribosomal RNA is filed under the name uncultured organism. Its description in RNAcentral is "partial 16S ribosomal RNA". It matches the Rfam family "Bacterial small subunit ribosomal RNA", at positions 331 to 799 of the family's 1533-position model. The record is from RNAcentral.